CUACGGGUGGCUCCAGUGGGGAAUAUUGCACAAUGGAGGAAACUCUGAUGCAGCAACGCCGCGUGGAGGAUGACACUUUUCGGAGCGUAAACUCCUUUUAUAUAGGAAGAAGAUGACGGUACUAUAUGAAUAAGCGCCGGCUAACUCCGUGCCAGCAGCCGCGGUAAUAAGGAGGGCGCAAGCGUUACUCGGAAUCACUGGGCGUAACGAGCGUGUAGGCGGAUUAAAAAGUCAGAAGUGAAAUCCUAUAGCUUAACUAUAGAACUGCUUCUGAAACUCUUAAUCUAGAAUAUGGGAGAGGUAGAUGGAAUUUCUGGUGUAGGGGUAAAACCCGUAGAGAUCAGAAGGAAUACCGAUUGCGAAGGCGAUCUACUAGAACAUUAUUGACGCUGAGACGCGAAAGCGUGGGGAGCAAACAGGAUUAGAUACCCCUGUAGUC
This 439-nucleotide ribosomal RNA is filed under the name uncultured bacterium. RNAcentral's name for it is "partial 16S ribosomal RNA". It matches the Rfam family "Bacterial small subunit ribosomal RNA", at positions 339 to 795 of the family's 1533-position model. The record is from RNAcentral.